AUUUAUAUAGUUUAACAAAAACCUUACAUUUUCAAUGUAAAAAUAAAAUUAUUUUUUUUUAUAAAUU
RNAcentral lists this transfer RNA (67 nucleotides) under Hydrellia tritici. RNAcentral describes it as "tRNA-Glu". The record is from RNAcentral. Lineage: Eukaryota; Metazoa; Arthropoda; Insecta; Diptera; Ephydridae.